CCUACGGGAGGCAGCAGUGAGGAAUAUUGGUCAAUGGGCGUAAGCCUGAACCAGCCAAGUCGCGUGAGGGAUGAAGGUUCUAUGGAUCGUAAACCUCUUUUGUCAGGGAACAAAGGCGGGGACGUGUCCCCGGAUGAGUGUACCUGAAGAAAAAGCAUCGGCUAACUCCGUGCCAGCAGCCGCGGUAAUACGGAGGAUGCGAGCGUUAUCCGGAUUUAUUGGGUUUAAAGGGUUCGCAGGCGGUCUGUUAAGUCAGCGGUCAAAGCCCGGGGCUCAACCCCGGCCCGCCGUUGAAACUGGCAGUCUCGAGUUGGAGAGAGGUAUGCGGAAUGCGCGGUGUAGCGGUGAAAUGCAUAGAUAGCGCGCAGAACUCCGAUUGCGAAGGCAGCAUGCCGGCUCCACACUGACGCUGAGGCACGAAAGCGUGGGUAUCGAACAGGAUUAGAUACCCUGGUAGUC
This 459-nucleotide ribosomal RNA is filed under the name uncultured bacterium. Its description in RNAcentral is "partial 16S ribosomal RNA". It matches the Rfam family "Bacterial small subunit ribosomal RNA", at positions 338 to 795 of the family's 1533-position model. The record is from RNAcentral.